This 448-nucleotide ribosomal RNA is filed under the name uncultured bacterium. RNAcentral describes it as "bacterial SSU rRNA". It matches the Rfam family "Bacterial small subunit ribosomal RNA", at positions 29 to 524 of the family's 1533-position model. The record is from RNAcentral.
AGCGAACGCUGGCGGCAGGCCUAACACAUGCAAGUCGAACGGAUCCUUCGGGAUUAGUGGCGGACGGGUGAGUAACACGUGGGAACGUGCCCUUUGGUUCGGAACAACUCAGGGAAACUUGAGCUAAUACCGGAUGUGCCCUUCGGGGAAAGAUUUAUCGCCAUUGGAGCGGCCCGCGUCUGAUUAGCUAGUUGGUGAGGUAAAGGCUCACCAAGGCGACGAUCAGUAGCUGGUCUGAGAGGAUGAUCAGCCACAUUGGGACUGAGACACGGCCCAAACUCCUACGGGAGGCAGCAGUGGGGAAUCUUGCGCAAUGGGCGAAAGCCUGACGCAGCCAUGCCGCGUGAAUGAUGAAGGUCUUAGGAUUGUAAAAUUCUUUCACCGGGGACGAUAAUGACGGUACCCGGAGAAGAAGCCCGGCUAACUCCGUGCCAGCAGCCGCGGUAAU